This is a long non-coding RNA of Clupea harengus (Atlantic herring), 1279 nucleotides long. The record is from Ensembl. NCBI's taxonomy places the organism in Eukaryota, Metazoa, Chordata, Actinopteri, Clupeiformes, Clupeidae.
AAAUCACCAUAAACACCGCUGGCUAUUAUCAGCCAAUCAGCACUGUCAUAUUACUACCCAACACAGACAGAUGGGGGGGCCUGGUUGUAUCCAGGGAAAAGCGAGGGGUUGGGGGAUGGGGGUGGGGGGCGGGGGGGCUCUAAAAUGCCAGUGGCUGCUGUGGGAUAUCGGGCAUGUGUGAGUAUGGGGAGGGAGGAUGUUAGUAGUCAGGGAUUCUACAGUGUAAUGAUUCUGUCACACUGACACAGGUUCCUCAUAGAUAAGCAGCCGCAUGGAAGCGGAAGUUUAACCUGGACGAAGGGCUAGAGGUUGCCUCAGCAUUUGUGUUUUUGUGUGUGUGUGUCUUUGUGUGUGUGUGUGUGUGUGUUGUGGAUUAGCUGUGUAAUUAUCUUUUCUUGUCUCCCCCUUCUUUCCCUUCGUUCAAGUUGACCCUUAUUAUGGCAGCAGAUGCUAAUUACACACUCCUGGCUUUCCCAAUGAGCUGCGAUAGGGGAGUCUGCUGCCAUGGCCAGACGGAAAUUUCUAGAGCGCGUCCUCCCUCCAGACGGAGAGAGGGCUGUCUGAGGUGGUGAGGUGGUGAGAACAAUGGGAUGUGAAUGCUGAGCCAGAGCCUGAGGCUGAGGUUUAGUGUGGCCAUACCCAGAGAAGGGUUGGGCAUGUCGAACAGAGAGGGAGCGGGAUGGGCAGGGGAGGUCUUGAAGUCGCCGUGCCUGGAGGGCGGUCAGGACGCGAGGCACUCUGAUGAGGCGGCGCGCUCGUCUGAACACGGCACGUCAAUGUGGUGGAGGGCAGGAUGUGACGGACGGGAAAAGCCUCGCCUCGGGCCCACCGCAGCCUCUCGCAUUCCCUUUCUUUCUUUCUUUCUUUUCUUCUCUUGUCCUCUUCUUCUUCUCUGCAUUUCGAAGCUCCAAACAGCAGACCUCCUGACACCGUAGCGUCAUCUCAUAAGUUGCGAUGGAGGGUAAAGCUGGAGAAGAAUGGUGAUAUAAUGGACUAAUCCAGAAUUAUGCCCCGUUAUUAACAAGAAGUCGUCGUGGACUGUCAUCACAAAGCGAGCAAUUGCUCACUGACUCAGAGCAAGAGCAGCAUACUGCGGCGGGCGUCUAUGUGAAAGCUCAAAUGUUACGCAACCGUCGAGUGCAUUUUCACUGCCCGGGGAUGAGUCAUCUAAUUUGCUCCGAACUCCCUUGGCCGUCACGCUGCAGGCCCCUUCCACUGCUCUGGAGAUGGUGUGGAGGGGCUGUGGAGAGGGUGGAACAGGUCAUGCUAAUGAACAGGG